RNAcentral lists this ribosomal RNA (468 nucleotides) under uncultured bacterium. Its description in RNAcentral is "partial 16S ribosomal RNA". It matches the Rfam family "Bacterial small subunit ribosomal RNA", at positions 28 to 507 of the family's 1533-position model. The record is from RNAcentral.
GACGAACGCUGGCGGCGUGCUUAACACAUGCAAGUCGAACGGAAAGGCCCUGCUUUUGUGGGGUGCUCGAGUGGCGAACGGGUGAGUAACACGUGAGUAACCUGCCCUUGACUUUGGGAUAACUUCAGGAAACUGGGGCUAAUACCGGAUAGGAGCUCCUGCUGCAUGGUGGGGGUUGGAAAGUUUCGGCGGUUGGGGAUGGACUCGCGGCUUAUCAGCUUGUUGGUGGGGUAGUGGCUUACCAAGGCUUUGACGGGUAGCCGGCCUGAGCGGGUGACCGGCGACAUUGGGACUGAGAGACGGCCCAGACUGCUACGGGAGGCAGCAGUGGGGAAUAUUGCACAAUGGGCGGAAGCGUGAUGCAGCAACGCCGCGUGCGGGAUGACGGCCUUCGGGUUGUAAACCGCUUUCGCCUGUGACGAAGCGUGAGUGACGGUAAUGGGUAAAGAAGCACCGGCUAACUACGUG